AGCUUUAAAAACUAAGAUAAAUCACGAUUGGUAGUAUUUAAGAUUGUAGAUGGAAAUUAAAGCUAAAGUCACUUCCUACAACCCAACCAAUCACCCCCUUUAUCUCUCAAACGAGACGAAAAACUCCAAUUAAAUCCACUUCCACCUAGACUUACCAAGAAUCACUAUAAAGCUAAAUUAAGCUGGAUGAGAGAACCAAAAAGAAAAAGAAAGAAAAAGAUUGAUUUUACAAAAUUCCUUUUACUAGACAAAGCAGUAAUCUACAAGUUAGUUAGUAUAG
Molecule: long non-coding RNA, 280 nt
Filed under: Brassica napus (rape)
Lineage: Eukaryota; Viridiplantae; Streptophyta; Magnoliopsida; Brassicales; Brassicaceae
Description: long non-coding RNA (BNAP_LNC008895)
Source: RNAcentral